UCUAAUAUGGCAGAUAAGUGCAAUGGAUUUAAGCCCCAUAUAUGAAGUGGUACAAACUUUUGUUAGAA
This 68-nucleotide transfer RNA is filed under the name Periplaneta constricta. Its description in RNAcentral is "tRNA-Leu". The record is from RNAcentral. Lineage: Eukaryota; Metazoa; Arthropoda; Insecta; Blattodea; Blattidae.